Molecule: long non-coding RNA, 430 nt
Filed under: Trifolium pratense (red clover)
Lineage: Eukaryota; Viridiplantae; Streptophyta; Magnoliopsida; Fabales; Fabaceae
Description: long non-coding RNA (TPRA_LNC013072)
Source: RNAcentral
UUUCCUAUACCUGAUCUGAUUUAGCUGAAUGCUUUACAUGUCUCGAGGUUGUGGUGAUUAGUUGGUAUGACAUGGGAAAGCCAUGAGUCCAAGGAUAUGGCUUGGGAGGAAAAGUUUUUUCCCGCUCUCCUUAGUUUUAUGAUAAGAGGAGUCAAAAAGUGAUUCUAGACUUAUAAAAGGAAUCUUUAUGCGUUUGGAGUCAAAACUCAAAAGUGAUUCUAGACUUAAAAAAGGAAUCAAAUAAAAGUAUUGUAUUUAUUUCUUUUCACUUUCUAUCCAUCCAAACAACUAAAAAGUACUAUCUGAUUUUCUAUUUAUUUUCAUUCAUUUCAUCCGCCUUCUUUGAUCAACCAAAUAUAGUUUUAAAUUUAUAGGGUAGCUUUUAUUGAGAUUAACUUAAAAUUAAGGAAAUUCCAUAUUAACUAUAGUG